Molecule: ribosomal RNA, 483 nt
Filed under: uncultured bacterium
Lineage: Bacteria
Description: partial 16S ribosomal RNA
Rfam family: Bacterial small subunit ribosomal RNA
Source: RNAcentral
GACGAACGCUGGCGGCGUGCUUAACACAUGCAAGUCGAACGAUGAAGCGGGUGCUUGCACUCGUGGAUUAGUGGCGAACGGGCGAGUAACACGUGAGUAACCUGUCCUUUUCUUUGGGAUAACGGCUGGAAACGGCUGCUAAUACUGGAUAUUCAGGCUGCAUCGCAUGGUGUGGUUUGGAAAGGUAUUUUCUGGGUUUGGGUGGGCUCGCGGCCUAUCAGCUUGUUGGUGGGGUGAUGGCUUAGCAAGGCUUUGACGGGUAGCCGGCCUGAGAGGGUGGUCGGUCGCACUGGAACUGCGAUACGGCCCAGACUCCUACGGGAGGCAGAAGUGGGGAAUAUUGCGCAAUGGACGAAAGUUUGAUGCAGCGACGACGCGUGGAGAGUGUAGGCCUUCGGGUUGUGAACUCCUUUGUGUCGCGAAAAAGGCACAGUUUUGGCUGUGUUGAUGGUAGUGGGGGAAGAAGCGCCGGCUAACUACGUG